Molecule: transfer RNA, 77 nt
Filed under: Sulfurimonas sp.
Lineage: Bacteria; Pseudomonadati; Campylobacterota; Epsilonproteobacteria; Campylobacterales; Sulfurimonadaceae
Description: tRNA-Ile
Rfam family: tRNA
About the family: Transfer RNA (tRNA) molecules are approximately 80 nucleotides in length. Their secondary structure includes four short double-helical elements and three loops (D, anti-codon, and T loops).
Source: RNAcentral
GGGCUUUUAACUCAGUUGGUUAGAGUCCCCCGCUCAUAACGGGGUUGUCGCAGGUUCGAGCCCUGCAAAGCCCACCA